GUGCCAGCAGCCGCGGUAAUACAGAGGGUGCGAGCGUUGUCCGGAAUCACUGGGCGUAAAGGGCGCGUAGGUGGCGGGGUAAGCGUGUGGUGAAAGUCCGGGGCUCAACCCCGGAUCGGCCAUGCGAACUGCCCGGCUGGAGCACGGUAGAGGCACAUGGAAUUCCGGGUGUAGCGGUGGAAUGCGUAGAGAUCCGGAAGAACACCGGUGGCGAAGGCGGUGUGCUGGGCCGUUGCUGACACUGAAGCGCGACAGCGUGGGGAGCAAACAGGAUUAGAUACCCCUGUAGUCC
This 292-nucleotide ribosomal RNA is filed under the name uncultured bacterium. Its description in RNAcentral is "partial 16S ribosomal RNA". It matches the Rfam family "Bacterial small subunit ribosomal RNA", at positions 505 to 796 of the family's 1533-position model. The record is from RNAcentral.